GUACACGCUGUGACUAGCAUAUCAAUAAGCGGAGGAAAAGAAACUAACAAGGAUUCCCCUAGUAACGGCGAGUGAAGCGGGAAGAGCUCAAAUUUGAAAUCUUAAAGGGUUUCCCUUUACGAAUUGUAGUUUAAAGAAGUGUUUUCUGUUGAGGUUUUGGUAAAAGUUCUUUGGAAUAGGACAUCAUAGAGGGUGAGAAUCCCGUAUUUGACCUUUACUUUCAACUUUGUGUAUACACUUUCAAAGAGUCGGAUUGUUUGGGAAUGCAGUCCAAAAUGGGUGGUAAAUUUCAUCUAAAGCUAAAUAUUGGCGAGAGACCGAUAGCGAACAAGUACCGUGAGGGAAAGAUGAAAAGAACUUUGAAAAGAGAGUUAAACAGUACGUGAAAUUGUCAAAAGGGAAGCGUUUGACACCAGUGUUGUUUUUCUGAAAAUCAAUUAAAGAACUGUUUAUGCUAAGCUGUUUAGACUUUAUCAGCUAACUGUUUAGUUUUGAGCUUUUCUUUAAUGCACUUUUCAGUUAACAAGUCAACAUCAAUUUCUUUUGCUGUAAAAAAGCUUGAGGAAGGUGGCUUGAGAUUCGUCUUAAGUGUUUAUAGCCUCUUGCCUAUGCAGUCGGAGAGAUUGAGGUCUGCAGCGUAGAUCCUUCGGGGCUAAAUGCAUUUGUGCUAAGUUAUAGCAUUUUAUAGACAACUUGUUGACUAUGAUUUGUCUUGUAGCUUACUCGCUUAUGUUAUUUUACCUACGCUUAGGAUGUUGAGUCGUAGAGCACGCAG
This 775-nucleotide ribosomal RNA is filed under the name uncultured Neocallimastigales. RNAcentral's name for it is "partial large subunit ribosomal RNA". It matches the Rfam family "Eukaryotic large subunit ribosomal RNA", at positions 22 to 628 of the family's 3401-position model. Lineage: Eukaryota; Fungi; Neocallimastigomycota; Neocallimastigomycetes; Neocallimastigales. The record is from RNAcentral.